RNAcentral lists this long non-coding RNA (1019 nucleotides) under Vitis vinifera (wine grape). Its description in RNAcentral is "long non-coding RNA (VVIN_LNC003405)". The record is from RNAcentral. Lineage: Eukaryota; Viridiplantae; Streptophyta; Magnoliopsida; Vitales; Vitaceae.
CGGUUUACUCACCUCCACCGGUGUUCUCGCCUCCGCCACCGGUGCUCUCUUCCCCACCACCACCAUCACCGCCACCGCCAUCUCCUUCGCCUCCACCACCUCCAGUUUACUCCCCUCCUCCACCUCCACCAGUUUACUCACCUCCACCACCCCCUCCUCCCCCACCGCCACCACCACCUGUUUAUUUUCCGCCACCACCUCCACCUUCACCACCACCACCGUCUCCCCCUCCACCCUCACCCCCACCACCUUCUCCAUCACCGCCUCCCCCUCCCUCGCCACCACCACCGGUAUUAUCGCCCCCGCCUCCAGUUUAUUGCGUCCGUUCCCCACCACCGCCACCGCCAAAUUCUCCCCCGCCUCCCAUUUAUUCUCCACCACCACCUCCAGUUCAUUCACCGCCCCCACCAAGUCCUUACUAUAGUUCACCACCGCCCCCGCCGCCACAUCAUUCACCUCCACCACCUCCCCACUCGCCACCCCCGCCUCCACCUAUCUAUCCAUACGCAUCACCGCCACCGCCACCCGUGCAUUCCCCACCACCACCUGUCCAUUCUCCACCACCUCCAUGCAUAGAACCGCCUCCUCCUUCUCCACCACCCCCAUCACCACCUCCAUGCAUAGAACCGCCUCCUCCUCCUUCUCCACCACCAUGUGUAGAAUAUUCGCCACCUCCACCAUCACCACACUCACCACCGCCACCACCAGUUCAUUACUUGCCUCCACCAUCACCAUCACCCCCACCACCACCUGUGUAUGCUUCUCCGCCACCUCCACCAUCUCUGCCUCCCCCAGUUUACUACCAUUCUCCGCCCCCACCCUCACCACCUCCUCCAACCCCAUGUGAAAAUCCUCCACCUACUCCAUCACCACCGCCCCCAAUCAUUUAUGAGAGCCCACCACCUCCAACCCCUGUAUAUGAGGGGCCAUUGCCACCAAUCUUUGGAGUUUCAUACGCUUCUCCACCGCCACCACCCUUCUAUUGAUUCUUUUGAGAAUUUUCCUCCUCUUGACAUUUC